This 383-nucleotide ribosomal RNA is filed under the name uncultured bacterium. Its description in RNAcentral is "bacterial SSU rRNA". It matches the Rfam family "Bacterial small subunit ribosomal RNA", at positions 28 to 422 of the family's 1533-position model. The record is from RNAcentral.
GAUUAACGCUGGCGGCGUGCCUAACACAUGCAAGUCGAACGAGGUAGCAAUACCUAGUGGCAGACGGGUGAGUAACGCGUGGUCAACCUACCGUUGAGUGGGGGAUAACUAGCCGAAAGGUUAGCUAAUACCGCAUACGUCUCCGAGUGGCAUCACUUGGCGAUAAAAGGAGCAAUCCGCUCGAUGACGGGACCGCGUCCAUUAGCUAGAUGGGUGGGGUAACGCCUACCAUGGCACCGAUGGGGUAGCUGGUUUGAGAGAGCGACCAGCCACACUGGGACUGAGAAACGGCCCAGACUCCUACGGGAGGCAGCAGUGAGGAAUUUUCCGCAAUGGCGCAAGCCUGACGGAGCGACGCCGCGUGUGGGAAGAAGGCCUUCGGU